GGGCCCGCACAAGCGGUGGAGUAUGUGGUUUAAUUCGAUGCAACGCGAAGAACCUUACCAGGGUUUGACAUCCUGCGAAUCUCUUGGAAACAGGAGAGUGCCUUCGGGAACGCAGUGACAGGUGGUGCAUGGCUGUCGUCAGCUCGUGUCGUGAGAUGUUGGGUUAAGUCCCGCAACGAGCGCAACCCACGUCUUUAGUUGCCAGCAUUUAGUUGGGCACUCUAUGGAAACUGCCCGUGAUAAGCGGGAGGAAGGUGUGGAUGACGUCAAGUCCUCAUGGCCCUUACGGGUUGGGCUACACACGUGCUACAAUGGUAGUGACAAUGGGUUAAUCCCAAAAAUGCUAUCU
RNAcentral lists this ribosomal RNA (349 nucleotides) under uncultured bacterium. Its description in RNAcentral is "bacterial SSU rRNA". It matches the Rfam family "Bacterial small subunit ribosomal RNA", at positions 917 to 1288 of the family's 1533-position model. The record is from RNAcentral.